GGUGCUUGCAUCAUGAUUUACAUUUGAGUGAGUGGCGAACUGGUGAGUAACACGUGGGAAACCUGCCCAGAAGCGGGGGAUAACACCUGGAAACAGAUGCUAAUACCGCAUAACAACUUGGACCGCAUGGUCCGAGCUUGAAAGAUGGCUUCGGCUAUCACUUUUGGAUGGUCCCGCGGCGUAUUAGCUAGAUGGUGGGGUAACGGCUCACCAUGGCAAUGAUACGUAGCCGACCUGAGAGGGUAAUCGGCCACAUUGGGACUGAGACACGGCCCAAACUCCUACGGGAGGCAGCAGUAGGGAAUCUUCCACAAUGGACGAAAGUCUGAUGGAGCAACGCCGCGUGAGUGAAGAAGGGUUUCGGCUCGUAAAACUCUGUUGUUAAAGAAGAACAUAUCUGAGAGUAACUGUUCAGGUAUUGACGGUAUUUAACCAGAAAGCCACGGCUAACUACGUGCCAGCAGCCGCGGUAAUACGUAGGUGGCAAGCGUUGUCCGGAUUUAUUGGGCGUAAAGCGAGCGCAGGCGGUUUUUUAAGUCUGAUGUGAAAGCCUUCGGCUCAACCGAAGAAGUGCAUCGGAAACUGGGAAACUUGAGUGCAGAAGAGGACAGUGGAACUCCAUGUGUAGCGGUGAAAUGCGUAGAUAUAUGGAAGAACACCAGUGGCGAAGGCGGCUGUCUGGUCUGUAACUGACGCUGAGGCUCGAAAGUAUGGGUAGCAAACAGGAUUAGAUACCCUGGUAGUCCAUACCGUAAACGAUGAAUGCUAAGUGUUGGAGGGUUUCCGCCCUUCAGUGCUGCAGCUAACGCAUUAAGCAUUCCGCCUGGGGAGUACGGCCGCAAGGCUGAAACUCAAAGGAAUUGACGGGGGCCCGCACAAGCGGUGGAGCAUGUGGUUUAAUUCGAAGCUACGCGAAGAACCUUACCAGGUCUUGACAUACUAUGCAAAUCUAAGAGAUUAGACGUUCCCUUCGGGGACAUGGAUACAGGUGGUGCAUGGUUGUCGUCAGCUCGUGUCGUGAGAUGUUGGGUUAAGUCCCGCAACGAGCGCAACCCUUAUUAUCAGUUGCCAGCAUUAAGUUGGGCACUCUGGUGAGACUGCCGGUGACAAACCGGAGGAAGGUGGGGAUGACGUCAAAUCAUCAUGCCCCUUAUGACCUGGGCUACACACGUGCUACAAUGGAUGGUACAACGAGUUGCGAACUCGCGAGAGUAAGCUAAUCUCUUAAAGCCAUUCUCAGUUCGGAUUGUAGGCUGCAACUCGCCUACAUGAAGUCGGAAUCGCUAGUAAUCGCGGAUCAGCAUGCCGCGGUGAAUACGUUCCCGGGCCUUGUACACACCGCCCGUCACACCAUGAGA
RNAcentral lists this ribosomal RNA (1358 nucleotides) under Lactiplantibacillus plantarum. Its description in RNAcentral is "bacterial SSU rRNA". It matches the Rfam family "Bacterial small subunit ribosomal RNA", at positions 64 to 1409 of the family's 1533-position model. Lineage: Bacteria; Bacillati; Bacillota; Bacilli; Lactobacillales; Lactobacillaceae. The record is from RNAcentral.